RNAcentral lists this long non-coding RNA (232 nucleotides) under Homo sapiens (human). RNAcentral describes it as "non-protein coding lnc-PTPRZ1-13:1". The record is from RNAcentral. Lineage: Eukaryota; Metazoa; Chordata; Mammalia; Primates; Hominidae.
ACUUCACACAGCAUGACUACAGAGAGAUCCUGCUUCCCAUGAUGACUGAUCAGCUCAAGUACCAUCUGGAGAGACAGGAGAACCUGGAGGCCUGCUGUCAGCUGCUCAGCCACAUCCUGGAGGUGCUGUACAGGAAGGACAUGGGGCCAACUCAGAGGCAGAUCCAGAUUAUCAUGGAGAAACUUCUCCAGACUGUGAACCAAACCAUCAUUUCCAUGGGACAAGAUUCCGA